AGAUUAUGGCAACAUAAUUUAAGACCUCCCAUAUCAAAUUUAAUACCUUUUAAAGACUUUUUUAAGGUAUUAAAUGCAGAUUUGUAAAUUCAAGACUUAUAAGUCUUUUUAAGACUCUGCAGGAACCCUGAUUAUUGUAUCUGUGUGUAUAUUUU
Long non-coding RNA from Sphaeramia orbicularis (orbiculate cardinalfish), 155 nucleotides. RefSeq lists it as uncharacterized. The record is from RefSeq and is a predicted model, not a curated record. Lineage: Eukaryota; Metazoa; Chordata; Actinopteri; Kurtiformes; Apogonidae. The transcript has 3 exons.